RNAcentral lists this ribosomal RNA (497 nucleotides) under uncultured bacterium. RNAcentral describes it as "partial 16S ribosomal RNA". It matches the Rfam family "Bacterial small subunit ribosomal RNA", at positions 28 to 507 of the family's 1533-position model. The record is from RNAcentral.
GGUGAACGCUGGCGGCGUGCCUAAUACAUGCAAGUCGAGCGAACGGACGAGAAGCUUGCUUCUCUGAUGUUAGCGGCGGACGGGUGAGUAACACGUGGAUAACCUACCUAUAAGACUGGGAUAACUUCGGGAAACCGGAGCUAAUACCGGAUAAUAUUUUGAACCGCAUGGUUCAAAAGUGAAAGACGGUCUUGCUGUCACUUAUAGAUGGAUCCGCGCUGCAUUAGCUAGUUGGUAAGGUAACGGCUUACCAAGGCAACGAUGCAUAGCCGACCGGAGAGGGUGAUCGGCCACACUGGAACUGAGACACGGUCCAGACUCCUACGGGAGGCAGCAGUAGGGAAUCUUCCGCAAUGGGCGAAAGCCUGACGGAGCAACGCCGCGUGAGUGAUGAAGGUCUUCGGAUCGUAAAACUCUGUUAUUAGGGAAGAACAUAUGUGUAAGUAACUGUGCACAUCUUGACGGUACCUAAUCAGAAAGCCACGGCUAACUACGUG